This 466-nucleotide ribosomal RNA is filed under the name uncultured bacterium. RNAcentral's name for it is "bacterial SSU rRNA". It matches the Rfam family "Bacterial small subunit ribosomal RNA", at positions 28 to 507 of the family's 1533-position model. The record is from RNAcentral.
GAUUAACGCUGGCGGCAUGCCUAAUACAUGCAAGUCGAACGGACUAGCAAUAGUCAGUGGCGAACGGGUGAGUAACGCGUGAGAAACCUGCCCAUAAGACGAGGAUAACGUCUGGAAACGGACGCUAAUACUGGAUAGUAUAACCUGGCGCAUGUCAAGUUAUUUAAAGGGGUGACCCACUUAUGGAUGGUCUUGCGUCGCAUUAGCUAGUUGGUGAGGUAACGGCCCACCAAGGCGACGAUGCGUAGCUGCGCUGAGAGGCGAAACAGCCACACUGGGACUGAGACACGGCCCAGACUCCUACGGGAGGCAGCAGUAGGGAAUUUUCGGCAAGUGGGGGGAACCCUGACCGAGCAAUGCCGCGUGAAUUAUGAAGGUCUUCGGAUCGUAAAGUUCUUUUAUGUAGGAAGAAUGGCCCUUCGGGGAGAUGACGGUACUACAUGAAUAAGCUCCGGCUAACCAUGUG